CCAGCAGCUGCGGUAAUUCCAGCUCCAAUAGCGUAUAUUAAAGUUGUUGCAGUUAAAAAGCUCGUAGUUGGAUUUCUGGUAGGAUGACUGUGCCCUCAGUAGAGCGUGCGCAGGCGUCUUGCCAUCCUUCUGUUAACCUUUGAGAGCUUCAUCGCUCUCUUUGGGGCUCAGAUAUUUUACCUUGAGAAAAUUAGAGUGUUUCAGGCAGGCUAGCGCCGGAAUACAUUAGCAUGGAAUAAUAGAAUAGGACUUUUGCCUCUUCUGUUGGUCAUGGGGUUCGAGUAAUGAUUAAUAGGGACAGUCGGGGGCAUUCGUAUUUCAUUGUCAGAGGUGAAAUUCUUGGAUUUAGGAAAGACGAACUUCUGCGAAAGCAUUUGCCAAGGAUGUUUUCAUUAAUCAAGUACGAAAGU
This 410-nucleotide ribosomal RNA is filed under the name uncultured eukaryote. RNAcentral's name for it is "SSU rRNA". It matches the Rfam family "Eukaryotic small subunit ribosomal RNA", at positions 567 to 990 of the family's 1831-position model. The record is from RNAcentral.